AAUUCUCAACCUUAUUAGCUUUUGCUGAUAAUGGCUUGGAUGUGGGGGGUUAUCUUUUGCUGGCUUCUUUCAAAGAGGUCAGCUCCCCUGAAAUGCAUUAGCUGGUGCCCCGCGUGGACUGUCUAUUUGGUGUGAUAAUUAUCUACGCCGUGGAUGUCUGCAAUUGGUUUUGGCGCUGCUUCUAACUGUCUGUUCAUUUGGACAAUACAUGACA
RNAcentral lists this unclassified non-coding RNA (214 nucleotides) under Hymenogaster muticus. RNAcentral describes it as "partial internal transcribed spacer 2". Lineage: Eukaryota; Fungi; Basidiomycota; Agaricomycetes; Agaricales; Hymenogastraceae. The record is from RNAcentral.